AUCUACGUUAAUGGUCACAAGCUUUAGAUCUGUUGCUCAAUUGUACAGUUUGGGUGACCUCAGAACUUCAAUAGAGCAGAUGCAGUGGGCGUCAUCAUAGAGCAGAUGCAGUACCUUUUAUGUAUCUCCACCCUCCAUCUUGGAGUUGGUCCUUCACUUUCUUGGUUUCAGGGCAUCACGUGUUUCCCUCUGCCAUGGAAGAAACGAGAUCCUCUCUCCUGCUCUUGAGACGCGUUUGGCUUCUGUUCACUUUUGUUAGCAAUCAGUCACACAGAAAUGAAACACGGAAUCCUGAUAUGGAUUCAACAGCAGCUCGCCUGAUUCUGAUAAACUUUUAUAUCAACUGUUAUUCCUUUCUCAA
Salvia hispanica is the source of this 361-nucleotide non-coding RNA. The record is from RefSeq and is a predicted model, not a curated record. Lineage: Eukaryota; Viridiplantae; Streptophyta; Magnoliopsida; Lamiales; Lamiaceae.